AGUGAACGCUGGCGGUAGGCCUAACACAUUCAAGUCGAACGGCAGCACAGUAAGAGCUUGCUCUUACGGGUGGCGAGUGGCGGACGGGUGAGGAAUACAUCGGAAUCUACUUUUUCGUGGGGGAUAACGUAGGGAAACUUACGCUAAUACCGCAUACGACCUACGGGUGAAAGCAGGGGAUCUUCGGACCUUGCGCGAUUGAAUGAGCCGAUGUCGGAUUAGCUAGUUGGCGGGGUAAAGGCCCACCAAGGCGACGAUCCGUAGCUGGUCUGAGAGGAUGAUCAGACACACUGGAACUGAGACACGGUCCAGACUCCUACGGGAGGCAGCAGUGGGGAAUAUUGGACAAUGGGCGCAAGCCUGAUCCAGCCAUACCGCGUGGGUGAAGAAGGCCUUCGGGUUGUAAAGCCCUUUUGUUGGGAAAGAAAAGCAGCAGGUUAAUACCCCGCUGUUCUGACGGUACCCAAAGAAUAAGCACCGGCUAACUUCGUG
This 492-nucleotide ribosomal RNA is filed under the name uncultured bacterium. Its description in RNAcentral is "partial 16S ribosomal RNA". It matches the Rfam family "Bacterial small subunit ribosomal RNA", at positions 29 to 507 of the family's 1533-position model. The record is from RNAcentral.